RNAcentral lists this long non-coding RNA (490 nucleotides) under Theobroma cacao (cacao). RNAcentral describes it as "long non-coding RNA (TCAC_LNC000795)". The record is from RNAcentral. Lineage: Eukaryota; Viridiplantae; Streptophyta; Magnoliopsida; Malvales; Malvaceae.
UUUUAUUUAAUAUUUUUAUUAUAUUCAAAUAGCUAUAAUUUUACUUUAAACGAAUGUUUUAGACUUCAAAAUUUAAUUUAAAUCAUGAAAUAUGUGUUUCCACUUACAUAUUACAUUUUUUCGGAUUUCGAAAUUUCAAAAAAAAAAUGACGAAAAUGCCCCAGUGAGCUAGAAAAUAAUAUUUUUAUUGUUUUGAGUUGGAAACAACUUAUGAUUUCUUGAAAUGCGAGAUUUAAUAACUGUCGAUCACCGGGAAGAUGCGGAAGUUGAUGCUAAGCCUUGCGGGGUUUCGAUCGGCAUUCGGGGUAAUGAGUGCUUAUCGGGACGUCGCGACGGUUGUCACGGGCCCGAUGGGAGUUCCGGGUCGUGACACAUAAUAAGUUUUUUUGAGACUUAGCAGAAAAUAAUUCAUCUUUUAUUAUAAACUUUGUUCCUUCACGUAGUGAAAUAUUGGCUCUUUCGGUGCUUUCAAUUAAUUUUGUACUACCAA